Molecule: long non-coding RNA, 706 nt
Filed under: Numida meleagris (helmeted guineafowl)
Lineage: Eukaryota; Metazoa; Chordata; Aves; Galliformes; Numididae
Description: lncRNA (ENSNMEG00000008472.1)
Source: RNAcentral
UCCUUGCUGCUCUGAUUGAGAUUCCAGGUGCCAGUUCUGGGGAGGACAGGCUCUGUUCAGGACAUCAGCACCAACAGAGAUGUCUUUUAAAGAAGAAACUGUUGCUGAAGCUGUGGCGGCAGGAGGGUGUCUUGUGGAUGAAGAGGACAAUCCUGUAUGGUGGGUGAUGGAGUCAGCAGGUUGGGCAUCAAUAGUGGCACCUUCCUGCUGCCACAAAGAGUCUCUGUAGCAAGGUAGUUGUCUAGAGGUAACUGAAACUCUGUUGCCUUCACAUCAUAGAAUGGCUUGGGUUGGAAGAGACCUCAAGGAUCAUCAAGUUCCAACCCCCCCAUAUCCACACACCGUUGGCCCUGGUCACAGGUUUUUACUUGUUUGGUGGCACAAGAGAUGUGACGAAAAACCAGAGCUACAGAUUCCCUUUCCUCCCUGUUGGCAACACUGCUAUCCCAUCACAUGGGCAUUAUUUGCUGUCCUCUUUCCUUUCUGGCUGUUCCCCAUAACAGCACUGCCUGCUCUCUCAUGCUGUGUUUCCUCCUUUUCAGGACUCUCCAUGGGUUGCUCCAGGCCAAGUUCUCUGUCUUGCUUUACUCCUGGCCAUCUCGCUCACCUGCCACAGAGCUUGACUCUGGCUGGAUGCCUGACAUACCGCAUCUGUUUCAAUGUGCGACGCAAUUACCAGUUCAGUGUUUGUGGGUGCUCGCAGUGA